Molecule: ribosomal RNA, 460 nt
Filed under: uncultured bacterium
Lineage: Bacteria
Description: partial 16S ribosomal RNA
Rfam family: Bacterial small subunit ribosomal RNA
Source: RNAcentral
CCUACGGGCGGCAGCAGUGAGGCAUAUUGGUCAAUGGACGAGAGUCUGAACCAGCCAAGUAGCGUGAAGGAUGACUGCCCUAUGGGUUGUAAACUUCUUUUAUAUGGGAGUAAAACAGGGUAUGCAUACCCUCUUGUAUGUACCAUAUGAAUAAGGAUCGGCUAACUCCGUGCCAGCAGCCGCGGUAAUACGGAGGAUCCGAGCGUUAUCCGGAUUUAUUGGGUUUAAAGGGAGCGUAGGUGGAUUGUUAAGUCAGUUGUGAAAGUUUGCGGCUCAACCGUAAAAUUGCAGUUGAAACUGGCAGUCGUGAGUACAGUAGAGGUGGGCGGAAUUCGUGGUGGAGCGGUGAAAUGCUUAGAUAUCACGAAGAACUCCGAUUGCGAAGGCAGCUCACUGGACUGCAACUGACACUGAUGCGCGAAAGUGUGGGUAUCAAACAGGAUUAGAUACCCUUGUAGUC